AUUGAACGCUGGCGGAAUGCUUUACACAUGCAAGUCGAACGGCAGCACGGGUGCUUGCACCUGGUGGCGAGUGGCGAACGGGUGAGUAAUACAUCGGAACGUACCCAGUCGUGGGGGAUAACGUAGCGAAAGUUACGCUAAUACCGCACACGUCCUGAGGGAGAAAGCGGGGGACCGUAAGGCCUCGCGCGAUUGGAGCGGCCGAUGGCGGAUUAGCUAGUUGGUGGGGUAAAGGCCUACCAAGGCGACGAUCCGUAGCGGGGCUGAGAGGACGGCCCGCCACACUGGAACGGAGACACGGUCCAGACUCCUACGGGAGGCAGCAGUGGGGAAUUUUGGACAAUGGGCGAAAGCCUGAUCCAGCCAUUCCGCGUGAGUGAAGAAGGCCUUCGGGUUGUAAAGCUCUUUCGGCAGGGAAGAAACGGCUUGGGAUAAUACCCCGGGCUAAUGACGGUACCUGAAGAAGAAGCACCGGCUAACUACGUGCCAGCCGCCGCCGUAA
RNAcentral lists this ribosomal RNA (502 nucleotides) under uncultured bacterium. RNAcentral's name for it is "partial 16S ribosomal RNA". It matches the Rfam family "Bacterial small subunit ribosomal RNA", at positions 29 to 523 of the family's 1533-position model. The record is from RNAcentral.